GACGAACGCUGACGGCGUGCUUAACACAUGCAAGUCGAACGAAGUGGCGAACGGGUGAGUAACGCGUAAUCAACCUGCCCUUCAGAGGGGGACAACAGUGGGAAACGACUGCUAAUACCGCAUACUGAAGGAGGGGAAUGCGUCUGAUUAGCUAGUUGGAGGGGUAACGGCCCCCCAGGGCGAUGAUCAGUAGCCGGUCUGAGCGGAUGACCGGCCACAUUGGGACUGAGACACGGCCCAGACUCCUACGGGAGGCAGCAGUGGGGACUCUUCCGCAAUGGACGAAAGUCUGACGGAGCAACGCCGCGUUAGUUAUGACGGCCUUCGGGUUGUAAAGCUCUGUUAAUCGGGACGCGGUACCGGAAUAGAAAGCCACGGCUAACUACGUGCCAGCCGCCGCGGUAAUUC
RNAcentral lists this ribosomal RNA (408 nucleotides) under uncultured bacterium. RNAcentral describes it as "partial 16S ribosomal RNA". It matches the Rfam family "Bacterial small subunit ribosomal RNA", at positions 28 to 526 of the family's 1533-position model. The record is from RNAcentral.